Molecule: ribosomal RNA, 450 nt
Filed under: uncultured Glomeromycotina
Lineage: Eukaryota; Fungi; Glomeromycota
Description: SSU rRNA
Rfam family: Eukaryotic small subunit ribosomal RNA
Source: RNAcentral
AGCAGCCGCGGUAAUUCCAGCUCCAAUAGCGUAUAUUAAAGUUGUUACAGUUAAAAAGCUCGUAGUUGAAUUUCGGGGUUAGUAGGUUGGUCAUGCCUCCGGUAUGUACUGAUCUCACUGAUUCCUCCUUCCUUAUGAACCGUAAUGCCAUUAAUUUGGUGUUGCGGGGAAUUUGGACUGUUACUUUGAAAAAUUAGAGUGUUUAAAGCAGGCUAACGCUUGAAUACAUUAGCAUGGAAUAAUGAAAUAGGACGUUCGAUCUUAUUUUGUUGGUUUCUAGGAUUGACGUAAUGAUUAAUAGGGAUAGUUGGGGGCAUUAGUAUUCAAUUGUCAGAGGUGAAAUUCUUGGAUUUAUUGAAGACUAAUUACUGCGAAAGCAUUUGCCAAGGAUGUUUUCAUUAAUCAAGACGAAAGUUAGGGGAUCGAAGACGAUCAGAUACCGUCGUAGUC